Molecule: unclassified non-coding RNA, 345 nt
Filed under: soil metagenome
Description: partial contains 5.8S ribosomal RNA, internal transcribed spacer 2, and large subunit ribosomal RNA
Rfam family: 5.8S ribosomal RNA (bases 1-120)
Source: RNAcentral
GAUGAAGAACGUAGCGAAAUGCGAUAAGUAAUGUGAAUUGCAGAAUUCAGUGAACCAUCGAGUCUUUGAACGCACAUUGCGCCCCCUGGUAUUCCGGGGGGCAUGCCUGUCCGAGCGUCAUUGCUGCCCUCAAGCACGGCUUGUGUGUUGGGCCUCCGUCCUCCUCCCGGGGGACGGGCCCGAAAGGCAGCGGCGGCACCGCGUCCGGUCCUCGAGCGUAUGGGGCUUCGUCACCCGCUCUUGUAGGCCCGGCCGGCGCUUGCCGACACAUCAAUCUUUUUUCCAGGUUGACCUCGGAUCAGGUAGGGAUACCCGCUGAACUUAAGCAUAUCAAUAAGCGGAGGA